UUUAUAUGUAAUAAAAUAUUUUGAAUUUAUAGAUCUCUCUUGUAAUUUAUAAACUCUCGUAUCUUUAUGAGCACCUUCUCAUUUCUGAAUAGAUUUAUAAAUUAUGUAAUAUAAGAUAAAAUAAUAAUUUAUAUAAAUGUCACACUCUAGAACCUAAAAAGUCCAGUAACAACAGCACUUUAAUGGAUAACUAACGUUUUCGACCGUACACCGGUCUUCCUCAAGUUUUUAAACCAGUACGAUUCGAACGUGGAAUGCAAAGAACAAUAUUUACAAAUUAUUUUUAAAAACCCAUGGAACGUAUAGAACACAUGUUCAAAAAUUAUUUUAAAAUCUACGGAACUAUCUAAGCGCGUAUAGACAACUUUUAUCCAUAUAUGUUACCAUGGCGAUAGAAAUAUAUCUAUACCAUAAACAGUGAGUAACAAGAUAUAAAUAAUGGUAUAGACAAAGGUUGCUAACUGCUGGUGUCGCCCGUUUUUUCAUAAUGGUACAGUACCUCCAAGUGUUGUUGUUACUAGACUUCUAAGGUUCUAGAAUGUAAUUUAUACGUUCCAGUAAUUCUUACAAGAACUGUGUUAACAAUGGGUUAGACAAGGAUGGAACUUUAUUCAUAAAUUGAUAAUAGUUUGAAUAUUGAAAUAUAGCAAAAUUGUCGAAUGUAGCAGCUAUAUUUACAGAAAAUUAUGAUAGUAAAAGUAUGAAAAGUUGUAUGUUAAAUAUAAUAAAUAACAUUUAUUCGAAUGCCAAAGAAAUACGUGAGGUGAGUCUAAUGGAAGCCAUGAAAAAUAAACUACGAAUGUCCAUAAAUGGUGAUUUAGAAGGAGAAUGCAGCAGGUUAUACACGCCAGCUUCUCACAGCAUCGUAGCGGAUGGAGUUGUAGAUGUUCAACACUUAUCAGCACGUUCAGAAGUGAGAAGGCGUUCAAAAUGAGCUUUUUAUAGAUUAAAAAAGAAGAAUAAACUCGAUCGGAAAAAAUGAAUUCUUAAAAAAAUAUAUAUAAUUUACGUAUUUCCGAAUCAUUUAAAUUUUAGUCAACAAACAGUUGUAGUUUUGCAGAUUUUAGAAGAAAAAAUAAAUAAAUAAAACAGGAGAAGAGAGCUUUCCACGUUUAUCUUCAGAAAGUCAAAAUUACUAAUAAGAUAUUGGUGCUAAAAUUUUAAUUAUUAAACAGUGCAAAAGCAUAUCUAUUAUAUAUUGUAUCACGUAUACUAAUGUCAAAAGUUCUUCUGACAACCCGACUGCUUCUCCAUUAAGUCUUUAUCUCCUUUUUGAAUCAUUGUAAAGAAGACAUUGUUUUGUACAAAAAAAUGGAUUAUGAUAGAUUAGAAAAUAGCAUCAAAAUCUUAUCCAGUUGGAAACAGAAUCUGUUAUUUGUUAACAAAAAAAAAAGAAAAAAACGUUAUGAGAUUUAUUCUACAAUUUAGAAUAUUUCGCAGAUUUCUGUAGAUGAAGAAUAUUUCCUUGUAAUAAAAUUUAAAUGAUCUUUUUUCUUAUAUUUGCAAAAUUAAUUUUACAAUUCGAAUAUAUUAAUAAAUACCGUCAAAUUGUCAUAUAUGGAAAUAAUAUUAUAAACGAUAGAAAUGAAUUCGUUUACAAAUGAAUUUAUUUAUUCUUAAAUAAUUCUUUAUUUUAUAUUUACAAGUGAUUACAUUUGUAUUUUUUUUUGUUUUGUUGAAAACAAAAAUCCUGGAUAAGAGUACACGAUAUUCCAUUUUCCGAAUCACUGAGUUGCAACAUUCUUCUUUCAUACUUUCUCUUUGAAAUUUUCUUUUAAUUUUAUCUCAUAUUUUUCAAAAAUAUUCGCAUUUGUUAUUAUUAAGAGCAAACUUGUAUUUUACGUGAAUUAAUUUCGAAUUUAAUUUUUUUUAUUUGCUUCUUUUUAUUCAACAACAAACCAAAUUAAAGCAUUUAUGACUCUGUUAUAUAUAUAUAUAUUUU
Molecule: long non-coding RNA, 1942 nt
Filed under: Centruroides sculpturatus (bark scorpion)
Lineage: Eukaryota; Metazoa; Arthropoda; Arachnida; Scorpiones; Buthidae
Description: uncharacterized LOC111616666, transcript variant X1
Source: RNAcentral